This 524-nucleotide ribosomal RNA is filed under the name uncultured bacterium. RNAcentral's name for it is "bacterial SSU rRNA". It matches the Rfam family "Bacterial small subunit ribosomal RNA", at positions 355 to 895 of the family's 1533-position model. The record is from RNAcentral.
UGGGGAAUAUUGCGCAAUGGGGGAAACCCUGACGCAGCCAUGCCGCGUGAGUGAAGAAGGUCUUCGGAUCGUAAAGCUCUUUCAACGGUGAAGAUGAUGACGGUAGCCGUAGAAGAAGCCCCGGCUAACUUCGUGCCAGCAGCCGCGGUAAUACGAAGGGGGCAAGCGUUGUUCGGAAUUACUGGGCGUAAAGGGCGUGUAGGCGGUCUAAUCAGUCAGUGGUGAAAGCCCUGGGCUCAACCCAGGAAUUGCCUUUGAUACUGUUAGACUAGAGUUCGGGAGAGGAUAGUGGAAUUCCCAGUGUAGAGGUGAAAUUCGUAGAUAUUGGGAAGAACACCAGUGGCGAAGGCGGCUAUCUGGACCGAUACUGACGCUGAGGCGCGAAAGCGUGGGGAGCAAACAGGAUUAGAUACCCUGGUAGUCCACGCCGUAAACGAUGUCUGCUAGUCGUUGGGGGGCGUAGCCCUUCAGUGGACGCCGCUAACGCAUUAAGCAGACCGCCUGGGGAGUACGGCCGCAAGGUU